This is a long non-coding RNA of Puntigrus tetrazona (Sumatra barb), 1534 nucleotides long. RefSeq lists it as uncharacterized. The transcript has 2 exons. The record is from RefSeq and is a predicted model, not a curated record. Lineage: Eukaryota; Metazoa; Chordata; Actinopteri; Cypriniformes; Cyprinidae.
UUGUGCUCGUGACGUACAGCGCGGAAGAAGAGCGAUAUAGAAAAUACACACACUCUACGAAGCGAGCCAUCAACGCAGUUUAGUGCAAAUGAAUUUAACUAACAUGACAUUCCAGUAAAAAAAAAAAAAAACACUAAAUGCAUGGACACCACGACGAAAACGCUGUUUUGCCGACAAAACGGUGAAAAGCAGUCAACGGCCAUAACCGACUUGGGGGUUUCUAAGAACGUCCCUUCCUAGUUUCUAUAUUUGGGAACGACUUCUAGGAAAAUAGAAACUGCCAGCUCCGUAUCCAGUUCCACGUGUUUAACUUCGCUCCCUUUUAAAGCGAAAGAAAAGCUUCGAGCAGCAGCGCGCCCGCACGUGCGCGGUUUUACAUACCGCCGCCCAUUGACGAUCAUUAAUAGACCGGAGAACGUCGGCGAGGAAUUUAGCGCACAAUUUGGCGCGUGUUGCUGGGAUCGGCAUCUCCCCCUGCGCGGCCCCUCACCUAGCAGCGUGACCGCGAAGCGACGCGCGAGCAGAGAGAUCUUAACAUGCACGGAGUCAGUCCGCUGCUCAUCUCACCAGCGGCGGCAGCACGUACGGCGCGCACUUAAAGAAACAACAUCUGACUCGCACCGGCCACAUGUUUCCUUCAACCCCGCGGCGCGUCUUUAUUCGCUCGAGCUUCCAGCAACCAGCUGCACUUCAUGGCCAUAGAUAAAGAAAACCCCAUGCGCAAGGAGUUAAUAAGUCAAACAAGUAAGAGCAUUGUCUACAAUUUCAAGAUGCUCUCGGAGGAAGUAAACAAGCAGAAAUGCAGACGUGAAAUUAAGAACCCUCUUCUUUACCCCCGUCCAUGUGACAGCAGAGGCAUAUGACUUCCAUAACUUCAUUGCUCAUUAACCGCUGAUGCUAGGACACAAUUGAGCGAGUGUUUGUGGAACUUACCCUAGAUAUUCAGAUCUCAGUCCUUGGCUCUGGCUGUUGGGCAGAUCUUCUCCUGUUUCAGAUAUCUUCACCCUGCCUGACAACAGACCGUGAGGACGCUCACAUGAGAGCCCCUUGUGAGGAGUGAACUAUGGGAUACAAAGACCGGUUAUGUCCAUUUAAAUCACUUAACAAACACCACAGCAAACAAAGACCGUGAUUUACCAUGGUGGCGUUAUUAAAUUACCUCUGCACAUGAGCCAACAAUUGAGUUAUUUUUAUAGACGUGUGCAGACAGUAUAAGCGCUGUCUUUUGUUCCUUAUUGACUUGGCCCACCAGAUUUUGUAUGUUCUUGAAUAGAGCUAGCACCGGUUAGACCAAAAAUACGCAUAGGAAAUAGUCAUAGCAAAGGUAUCCUUCAAAAACCAAAUACUCCCUUUUAGCUAGGUUGCGCACGAACGACUUUAGGCUAGUCAUUGUCUGGGCUUGACUGGGAUGGGAAAUGGUUUAAAAAGCCAAUGCGUUUAUAAAAUAUGUAAUUGAAAUGUUGAUUACAUUUGUUGUAUGUUUUAAAAUGACGCUGAUAACUAUCAAACAAUAAAGUGAAAACGAUUAAAAACC